CGCGUGUUACUGCUGCCGCUUUCUGAGAGAAGUGUUUUAUGUGACUUGUUAACAAGUUGUUUGUCAUCAGAAUGAGCAUUUUAACCGUUUAACAGAGAAGGUUUUCUUACCAAAGACAUUAAAUCAGCUCGUCACUUUAUUGCUGUGUGCCUGUGUGUUAAUUCUGAGGGGUAUAAUUCAGAAAAACUGUUUUUCAUGUGUUUCCAGUACUACACACGUACUAAGGAGGAUAACCAGAUAUUCAAUUGCCUAGAUGGCAGUGGAGUUUUCACAGAGAUGGACUCGUUCCUGGUGUCCAACCCCAUGCGUUCUGUAUGAGGACUCGCUCGAGCUGCUGCUGGAACUGGAGGAUGUGGAGAGACAGAUCCAUGACCUACUCAACAAGCAGGCCCGGCUGCUGGAGCGAAGAACCGCGCUGGAAACAUCUUGUGCUUCUGCCUACACAUCCAAGGUAAGCACGCAGUGUGGUAUUACCAUUCCCAGCCCCUCUACGCCGUGUGUUUCUCUGUGCAGGGACCGUGCACCCAAGACUUUUC
Ictalurus punctatus (channel catfish) is the source of this 536-nucleotide long non-coding RNA. NCBI's taxonomy places the organism in Eukaryota, Metazoa, Chordata, Actinopteri, Siluriformes, Ictaluridae. The record is from Ensembl.